GGUUUUCGUGACCAGCCUUAUACUGCAAGUCGAGCGGAAGAUGGGAGCUUGCUCCCUGAUGUUAGCGGCGGACGGGUGAGUAACACGUGGGUAACCUGCCUGUAAGACUGGGAUAACUCCGGGAAACCGGGGCUAAUACCGGAUGGUUGUUUGAACCGCAUGGUUCAAACAUAAAAGGUGGCUUCGGCUACCACUUACAGAUGGACCCGCGGCGCAUUAGCUAGUUGGUGAGGUAACGGCUCACCAAGGCAACGAUGCGUAGCCGACCUGAGAGGGUGAUCGGCCACACUGGGACUGAGACACGGCCCAGACUCCUACGGGAGGCAGCAGUAGGGAAUCUUCCGCAAUGGACGAAAGUCUGACGGAGCAACGCCGCGUGAGUGAUGAAGGUUUUCGGAUCGUAAAGCUCUGUUGUUAGGGAAGAACAAGUACCGUUCGAAUAGGGCGGUACCUUGACGGUACCUAACCAGAAAGCCACGGCUAACUACGUGCCAGCAGCCGCGGUAAUACGUAGGUGGCAAGCGUUGUCCGGAAUUAUUGGGCGUAAAGGGCUCGCAGGCGGUUUCUUAAGUCUGAUGUGAAAGCCCCCGGCUCAACCGGGGAGGGUCAUUGGAAACUGGGGAACUUGAGUGCAGAAGAGGAGAGUGGAAUUCCACGUGUAGCGGUGAAAUGCGUAGAGAUGUGGAGGAACACCAGUGGCGAAGGCGACUCUCUGGUCUGUAACUGACGCUGAGGAGCGAAAGCGUGGGGAGCGAACAGGAUUAGAUACCCUGGUAGUCCACGCCGUAAACGAUGAGUGCUAAGUGUUAG
This 810-nucleotide ribosomal RNA is filed under the name Bacillus subtilis. RNAcentral describes it as "bacterial SSU rRNA". It matches the Rfam family "Bacterial small subunit ribosomal RNA", at positions 32 to 826 of the family's 1533-position model. The record is from RNAcentral. Lineage: Bacteria; Bacillati; Bacillota; Bacilli; Caryophanales; Bacillaceae.